CCACAAUGCGCGAAAGCGUGAUGGGGGGAUCCCGAGUGCUUACAGUUUAUCUGUAAGCUUUUGUCAAGAGUAAACAUCUUGGAGCAUAAGUGGUGGGUAAGACCGGUGCCAGCAGCCGCGGUAACCCCGGCGCCACGAGUGGCAAUCUUAUAUUGGGCCUAAAGCAUUCGUAGCAGGUUUGAAAAAUCUCUUGUGAAAUCGUCGAACUCAAUACGACGGCAUGCAGGAGACACUUUCAGACUAGAGACUGGGAGGAGUUGGGGGUAUGUCUAGGGGAGCGGUUAAAUGUGUUAAUCCUAGACAGACCACCUGUGGCGAAGGCGCCCAACUAGAACAGUUCUGACUGUGAGGGAUGAAAGCUAGGGGAGCGAUCCGG
This 376-nucleotide ribosomal RNA is filed under the name uncultured archaeon. Its description in RNAcentral is "bacterial SSU rRNA". It matches the Rfam family "Archaeal small subunit ribosomal RNA", at positions 350 to 727 of the family's 1478-position model. The record is from RNAcentral.